CACUGUGAAAUCCUAGUUGCUUGAUUUUUAGAAGAAAACAGCCAGACUGAAUACCACCCAGUGACACCAGUGCAGGUAAUAAGCACCACCCAUGUUGCACGUCAGGCACACUUAAUCCUCUACCCUACCAGGAAGAUCGAAGAGUAAUUUGUUCUGGAAAAUAACUAUUAUCUUGUCUGUUAGUUCAUGUAUCAUAAAUCCUAUAACUGUAUGUGGCUUUGCUGCUUAUUCUUACACUUUCAUCAGGUCCCAAAGACAUAUUUCCUCAGCACUGACAGUGUUACAGGUACAGUGUAUUGUACCUGUAACAAUCUUCAC
RNAcentral lists this long non-coding RNA (318 nucleotides) under Bos taurus (domestic cattle). RNAcentral's name for it is "long non-coding RNA NONBTAT015655". The record is from RNAcentral. Lineage: Eukaryota; Metazoa; Chordata; Mammalia; Artiodactyla; Bovidae.